Magnolia sinica is the source of this 1202-nucleotide long non-coding RNA. RefSeq lists it as uncharacterized. The transcript is spliced from 2 exons. The record is from RefSeq and is a predicted model, not a curated record. NCBI's taxonomy places the organism in Eukaryota, Viridiplantae, Streptophyta, Magnoliopsida, Magnoliales, Magnoliaceae.
CUGACAGAUUCAACAUCCAAACAUCCACCGUGCUGAACAGGGCAUAAUUGCAGUUUGGGGGCUACUUCCUCAUACAAAUACUAACGGAGAAGCUCAACCUGGUGAACAGUGUGCUAUUUACUGGUGGAUGGGCUAAAACUGGUUUAUACUAUGAGACUGUGCAGGAGAUUUUCAAGGUGUUUAACUGUUUUUGCGAUUUAUGCUAUUUUUAUUUUUCUGACCUGAUAUCCACAUUAGUAAAAAAAAAAAAAAAAAGGGAAAGAAAGUGCCUUUUGUGAAUUAUGAUUACUGGGAGCUACACAUGACACACAUGGACUAUGGAAAUCAAUCCAGAUUGUCCCAGUCAUGGGCCCUUUUAAGAUGGAGCAUAGCAAAAGAAACCACACUAAUUGGAUUACUAGACCAUCUGUUUUUCUUUUUCUCCAUGAAUUUCAGUUCCUCCUAAAUCUAGGGUCCUAGACUAAUGUCCCAAGGAAUUCCUGGAAAAAAUCAGCAGGUACACCCAAAGUUUUCAUUAGUUUAAUGUGUGAUUACUCAUUAUAUCUGUUUGUCAUUGUCUGUGACAUUCUUCUUUUGGUCUUAAAUAAUUUAGCAAGAUUAGGAUUUUGGCCUGAGUUUCUUAUUACUUCUGCUAGUCAACAGAGGGUUUUUGCUGUCCAAGUCUUCGAGUUGCAUAGAUUGAUAAAUAUGCUUGGAUGGCAUGCUUGCUUCUACUGUAAAGCCUUCUUCCUUCAAGCCCAUACCUGCUGUCUUUUCUUUUUCUGCAUUAACUUUUCUUCCUAGCUUCAUUUUAGAACUAAUUUAACUUUUCUUCCUAGGUUCAUAUUUACGAUUCACGGUCUUUCAUUGGUGGAAAAGUGGGCUCAUUUGUAGAUAAGUGUGGGAAUCACAUCGAGAUGGGACUUCAUGUCUUUUUCGGUUGCUACAGCAACCUUUUUCGCCUGAUGAAAAAGGUGAAAUCCCCAUCCUUUGUCAUAAGACUCAUAAUCUCUGGACCCAGAAAUGUGAACCAUCUCCAGUGAGUUGAGGCAUAUCUUCAUCACUCAGUAUUGAUUUAUGAAAGCUGGGGUAGAUUAUUCCUUAAAGGAAUGACUGUUUGUGAUAUGAGAAUUGAUGUAUGGUCAAUAGUCCCAAACCAAAUUGUACUUAACCGAAAAAUUUCUACGGUGAGAUGGAUAGUAUAAUUAGGAGUUAGUUCUAUC